AACGUAGGUACCGAGCGUUAUCCGGAUUCACUGGGCGUAAAGCGCGUGUAGGCGGUUCGGUAAGUCCGCUGUGAAAGUCGGGGGCUCAACCCUCGGAUGCCGGUGGAUACUGUCGAGCUCGAGUACGGAAGAGGCGAGUGGAAUUCCUGGUGUAGCGGUGAAAUGCGCAGAUAUCAGGAGGAACACCAAUUGCGAAGGCAGCUCGCUGGGACGUUACUGACGCUGAGACGCGAAAGCGUGGGGAGCAAACAGG
This 253-nucleotide ribosomal RNA is filed under the name uncultured bacterium. Its description in RNAcentral is "partial 16S ribosomal RNA". It matches the Rfam family "Bacterial small subunit ribosomal RNA", at positions 524 to 776 of the family's 1533-position model. The record is from RNAcentral.